GACGAACGCUGGCGGCGUGCCUAAUACAUGCAAGUAGAACGCACAGUUUAUACCGUGGCUUGCUACACCAUAGACUGUGAGUUGCGAACGGGUGAGCAACGCGUAGGUAACCUGCCUGGUAGCGGGGGAUAACUAUUGGAAACGAUAGCUAAUACCGCAUAAUAUUAAUUAUUGCAUGAUAAUUAAUUGAAAGGUGCAAUUGCACCACUACCAGAUGGACCUGCGUUGUAUUAGCUAGUAGGUGAGGUAACGGCUCACCUAGGCGACGAUACAUAGCCGACCUGAGAGGGUGAUCGGCCACACUGGGACUGAGACACGGCCCAGACUCCUACGGGAGGCAGCAGUAGGGAAUCUUCGGCAAUGGACGAAAGUCUGACCGAGCAACGCCGCGUGAGUGAAGAAGGUUUUCGGAUCGUAAAGCUCUGUUGUAAGAGAAGAACGGGUGUGAGAGUGGAAAGUUCACACUGUGACGGUAUCUUACCAGAAAGGGACGGCUAACUACGUG
RNAcentral lists this ribosomal RNA (505 nucleotides) under uncultured bacterium. Its description in RNAcentral is "partial 16S ribosomal RNA". It matches the Rfam family "Bacterial small subunit ribosomal RNA", at positions 28 to 507 of the family's 1533-position model. The record is from RNAcentral.